RNAcentral lists this signal recognition particle RNA (100 nucleotides) under Bacteroidales bacterium. RNAcentral describes it as "signal recognition particle sRNA small type". It matches the Rfam family "Bacteroidales small SRP". From Rfam's summary of the family: The non-coding component of the signal recognition particle in Bacteroides The record is from RNAcentral. Lineage: Bacteria; Pseudomonadati; Bacteroidota; Bacteroidia; Bacteroidales.
GGGAAAGUCUUGUACGACCAGCUCCCUCCCAACUCCCCCAGGGCAGGAAUGCAGCAAGGGUCAGAGGUUGUAGCGGUGCGAUACAAGGUGCUUUCCCUUU